RNAcentral lists this ribosomal RNA (253 nucleotides) under uncultured bacterium. Its description in RNAcentral is "partial 16S ribosomal RNA". It matches the Rfam family "Bacterial small subunit ribosomal RNA", at positions 524 to 776 of the family's 1533-position model. The record is from RNAcentral.
UACAGAGGUCUCAAGCGUUGUUCGGAUUCAUUGGGCGUAAAGGGUGCGUAGGCGGCGCGGUAAGUCGGGUGUGAAAUCUCGGGGCUUAACUCCGAAACUGCAUUCGAUACUGCCGUGCUUGAGGACUGGAGAGGAGACUGGAAUUUACGGUGUAGCGGUGAAAUGCGUAGAUAUCGUAAGGAACACCGGUGGCGAAGGCGGGUCUCUGGGCCGAUACUGACGCUGAGGAGCGAAAGCGUGGGGAGCGAACAGG